Molecule: unclassified non-coding RNA, 219 nt
Filed under: Hevea brasiliensis (rubber tree)
Lineage: Eukaryota; Viridiplantae; Streptophyta; Magnoliopsida; Malpighiales; Euphorbiaceae
Source: RNAcentral
GUGAGAGUGUAUGCAGUCAUGCAAACUUUCAAUACUAUAGUAUAGUCCCCUUAUUUAUCUAGAAAAUUCACACAGGGCAAGUGUAUCUUAUAUUCAUUUAUAUUAUUUCUGGAAAUUUGUUUGAACAAUAUGCCAGCAAUUCAAAAUCAAAACAAUGAGAUCAAAAAGACCAAGGAAUCUGAAAAGGGAAUUGAUGAAGAAUCUGCACUACAACAGACA